GUAUAAGAGACAGCAGUAGCCACGGGAAUACGAAGGGUGCAAGCGUUAAUCGGAAUUACUGGGCGUAAAGCGUGCGUAGGCGGCUUUUUAAGUCGGAUGUGAAAUCCCUGAGCUUAACUUAGGAAUUGCAUUCGAUACUGGGAAGCUAGAGUAUGGGAGAGGAUGGUAGAAUUCCAGGUGUAGCGGUGAAAUGCGUAGAGAUCUGGAGGAAUACCGAUGGCGAAGGCAGCCAUCUGGCCUAAUACUGACGCUGAGGUACGAAAGCAUGGGGAGCAAACAGGAUUAGAUACCCCAGUAGUCCCUGUCUCUUAUAC
Molecule: ribosomal RNA, 314 nt
Filed under: uncultured bacterium
Lineage: Bacteria
Description: partial 16S ribosomal RNA
Rfam family: Bacterial small subunit ribosomal RNA
Source: RNAcentral